Long non-coding RNA from Mauremys mutica (yellowpond turtle), 462 nucleotides. RefSeq lists it as uncharacterized. The record is from RefSeq and is a predicted model, not a curated record. The transcript is spliced from 3 exons. NCBI's taxonomy places the organism in Eukaryota, Metazoa, Chordata, Testudines, Geoemydidae.
GUGCUCAGAGAUGGCCUCUUCUUAUCAGGGAAUGACUAGAGGAGGACUAAGGGAAGGAUUUAAUUUAUGUACAGUAAUGUAGGAAAAGUGACACUUCCCACCACCAGCCAAACCAUAUUCAUAAUGAAUGCAGUUUCUUUGUAGCUGUUCCACACAUCAGAGGGCUGCUGAGAGUGAGGAAGCUGAGCAGAGUCUACUGCAUACCCUGAGGAAUUUAUGCUAUUUCAGUAAAUUGUGCACACUUAUGCUGCAUGCAGUCUGGAGGCUUUUAAGCUUACAGAAAAUCCAGAUGCAGAUGUAUGCUUGAUUUCAGUGCCAAGCUGCCUCCUCUGUUUAAUAAAGGGUUUAAUACAAUUUAAACUGAAGAAGCAAAGAGCCUUAAGAUACCAGCACGAGAGACUCAGAAUCCUAAUUAAUUUUCUGUUGGUCACAGUUGUCAGAGAUUCUCUUCCUUGUGCCUCU